AACCCAUGGUGAGGGCACCUUCUCAAUAGAUCAUUGUAUCUCUCUCAUACAUCAUAGAGUGUUUCCAAAUCCAUCUGCACAAAAGAAGAAAUAUCAUUCCUUAAUUU
Non-coding RNA from Gossypium hirsutum (cotton), 107 nucleotides. The record is from Rfam. Lineage: Eukaryota; Viridiplantae; Streptophyta; Magnoliopsida; Malvales; Malvaceae.